This 1044-nucleotide ribosomal RNA is filed under the name Triticum aestivum (bread wheat). Its description in RNAcentral is "partial small subunit ribosomal RNA". Lineage: Eukaryota; Viridiplantae; Streptophyta; Magnoliopsida; Poales; Poaceae. The record is from RNAcentral.
CCGAAGCAUUUUUGGGCAGAAGCGGUUGAGACAGCUUGUCAUGCAACAAAUCGCUUGUAUCUUCACAAGCUACUCGGCAAGACGGCAUAUGAGCUCCUCACUGGUAACAAACCCCAAGUUGGAUACUUUCAAGUAUUCGGCUCAAAGUGCUACAUUCUUGAUAAGCAUCGCCGCUCUAAAUUUGCUCCUAAGUCUCAUGAAGGUUUCCUACUAGGUUAUGGCUCAAACUCUCACACUUACCGUGUCUACAACAGUUUCACCCGAAAGGUUGAAGAGACGGUAGAUGUGAAGUUUGAUGAAUCUAACGGCUCGCAAGUAGAGCAAUUGCCAAUUGAUGUAGGUGACAAAGAUCCUUCGGAAGCAAUUCAAGACUUGUCUAUUGGCAAGGUUCGUCCAACGGAGGUGAAGGAGAGUACCUCGUCCGUCCAAGUGGAAGCUUCAACUUCACAACAAGGUGAACCAAGAGUUGAUACGGAAGCAUCCACAAGUGGGACACACCAAGAUGAAGAAAACGAGGAAGUGCAUCAAGAUGAAUGUCAACAACCUCCUUCUCCACCACGACAAGAGAACGACAACGCCAACAAUGAAGAAGGCCAAGAAGAAGAAGAACAAGAUGAAGAAGAUGUUCAACGAAGACCCAAGCAAAAGCUUUCACGAGUUCGAGCAAGAAUUGCUAAAGAUCAUCCCGUCGAGCAAAUCUAUAAUGACAUUCAAACCGGGAGAAUCACUCGCUCUAAAACUCGUUUAGCUAACUUUUGUGAAAACUAUUCUUUCAUCUCUAGCAUUGAACUUAUGAAGGUUGAAGAAGCAUUGGAAGAUCCGGAUUGGAUAAAUGCUAUGCAUGAAGAGCUACAUAACUUUGAGAGGAACCAAGUUUGGACAUUGGUUGAGAAGCCCGACAACAACCACAACGUCAUCGGUACCAAAUGGGUGUUUCAUAACAAGCAAGAUGAAGAUGGAAAAGUAGUUCGCAACAAAGCACGUCUUGUCGCCCAAGGCUACAGACAAGUCGAAGAUAGAUGGCUCGUGCUGUUGUUCCGUUGA